This 2383-nucleotide long non-coding RNA is filed under the name Triticum aestivum (bread wheat). RNAcentral describes it as "long non-coding RNA (TAES_LNC025518)". Lineage: Eukaryota; Viridiplantae; Streptophyta; Magnoliopsida; Poales; Poaceae. The record is from RNAcentral.
UUCAUGAUUUAUAAUCAUGAAAGAUUAGAUGAAGCAACUUGAGGCAAGCUUAAAAUCAUAUCUAAUAGAUAUCUUUUCUUGUUACAUCCGUAGCAAGAUUUUCAAGUUGUUAGCCAUACAAAAAGUAAGCUAGAUUUUCAAGCUACUUGUGUGUAGUACUCUGGUUUUCAGGUUUAAUUCUUCUUACAUGUAUCUGUUGUUGUAUUUAAAAAAGCAUCCAGAUCAAUGACUUCAUAUGAUAUUUUCCUGCAUUUUUGUUUAUGUACAAAAAGGGAAAUUUUCCUACAACUUCAACCACGUAAUCCGUAGUUUGUUGGUUUGUUUCUAAUAAUAUGCGUGAUCUUUUUCCUUUGAAGUUCGAACCUUUUGAUUUUAGGGAUGUCAUUUAUAAAGAUAUGGGAGAUAUUUUCAGUUCUUUGGCACUUCUUGCUUCUGGAAACUACGCACAGGUGGUGACGAGCAGAUGAAUGGUGACAGUAAGAAGAGGAGGAUAUGGGGACAUUCGACGGUGGCGGCGGCCGAUAUAAUCGUGCCUAUCAUCCUCAAGUUCUCCACCUAGAAGGGCGCCGUUAUGUAAGCGUGGUCCUAUCUGGAUAUUCAUUUCUCCUUGUUCAUCUGCUUCAAUUGUGUUGUGCACUAUAGGGUAUAUUAUGUGCUAUAUCGAUUCAGCUACUAGCUAACGAGUGCAUACUGGCUGGUGUACAAAUUUUAGAAUAUUUGGACUACAUCAAUCUCUUAAAGAAUUUUAUGAUGUUAAAAAUUCACCAUAGUUCCUUCGCUGCGCUCCUCAUUCGGUCUAACACCUCACCACCUGUAACUGGUGUGGCAGUAGCAGUGGGAGCAGAGCAGUCGGCGGGUUCCUGGCUUACCUGCCUCACAACAAGGCGGGCACGGCUGGGCUAGGCAGCCUGGACAUCCAGGAUUCACAAGUCGUGGUCCACUCCUGCUCGGAACGCUACAUGUUGGCAUUAUUAUAAACUCCCCCCUCCCUCACACACACACACACACACACACACACAAGACAACCCUCCAACAAAUCAGUGGGUCGAUCUUGUGUGAAAACUCCUUCAGGGAUAAUACAAAUUUCUGGUUAUUGUGACAGCUAAAGGUUUACACUGGUCAUUACGAAAAUAUUGUCUGCUCGAGUUGGUGAAAUGAAGGUUGUGGAUUAAGUGGAAUUGUAAUGUACACAUUAUUGGUUGCACCUAUAACAUUUUUGGUAAAUUGAUAUUACAACGAGCAACAAUUUUCAGAGCAAAGAAUAUUAUAUGUUCUAGCAAUGGUUUACAAAUCCCUUUUUGUAGAGGAUACUUUGCUUUAUUCAAUGCAGGAAAUAUUUUAGUCCUUACUAGCUCCGUACUGUUGUAAGCACACUGUUCUUUUUGUUCAGUCCAAAGGUUGGUGAACCACAUGUUAAACUUCCAUUGGAAGCCGUAUUACAAAUACCUAUCAUGCAACCAGUUGUUGUACUUUCUUCUUCACUAAUAUUAUUUUAUGAAUUUUUCUAAACCUGGAAGAAGCUUCCGCUAUGAUGUUGUUUGAACCUGAAAAAAGCUUGUACUGCAUUGAUAACUGAACCUGAAAAUUGCUGCAUCCUAUAUACAUUGGUAGAGUAAAAAAUAACUUGAUUUAUGUAGGACUUGUUUUGGAUUAAGUGGAUAGGUGAUGCACUAUUCUUGAUUGCAGCUGGUGCUUUUUUGGUAAUUUGAUAACACCACGAGCAGCAAUCGAGUUUGAAAGCCAGAAAACAUACAAAACAUGUAAAUGGGAGUACUGCCAGUUUAGGAGCCAAGUAACCAUUACUAGAGUAAUCAAUCUGAGAAAUGAUUAGUUGAGGAAAUUGAGUAUUAUUGUACUUCUCGACAAUGAAAUGGUCUUUUUUUUGUUCUAGGAAACGUUGGAGGUAGAAUCAGCUUCAAGCUCGAGUACCCAAUGGUAGAGAAGUAGAAAGGAGGCACAAGAUGGAACUAUGAACUCCGGUAGUAACAUUUUUAUUUCACCAAGUUAGGUUAAUGAUGUUCAGCUUAAUGGACAACUCUACAGACACUUAGUAGAACACAAGCUUUUGUUGUUGACUUCAAUAUAAGGUGCCCUAUGUACUAUUUUUAAGGUGUCAUGCUUCCCAAGAGAAUAUAUCUACAUGUAAAGAACUAGCUAAAUGAACUGGCUCAUCAAUUUCAAUCUAAAUGAACUAGCUCAUAAGCAUUCUUUGAUUUUGCUUCAUUAGUUUUGUUGUAGCAUAGUUCCAUUAAUAUUUGUGAUACUUAUUUUCUGUAUUAUUUACAAUUUUCAUUUAGCAAAGUGAUGUCCCUCUUGAAUAAUCAUAUGCUGCUAUCAGUUCAGACAUUGCACUUAGCAAAUUUAAUCUUUUAUGAGAUUAGAU